UACGUAGGGGGCAAGCGUUGUCCGGAAUCAUUGGGCGUAAAGUGCGUGUAGGCGGCUCGAUAAGUCUGCUGUGAAAGUCCAGGGCUCAACCCUGGGAUGCCGGUGGAUACUGUCGAGCUCGAGUCCGGAAGAGGCGAGUGGAAUUCCUGGUGUAGCGGUGAAAUGCGCAGAUAUCAGGAGGAACACCAAUGGCGAAGGCAGCUCGCUGGGACGUGACUGACGCUGAGACGCGAAAGCGUGGGGAGCAAACAGG
Molecule: ribosomal RNA, 253 nt
Filed under: uncultured bacterium
Lineage: Bacteria
Description: partial 16S ribosomal RNA
Rfam family: Bacterial small subunit ribosomal RNA
Source: RNAcentral